ACGUCUACAUUGCUAAUCUGUCUAUAAAAGACAGUUAUUACUAACUCGGUAGACACGUCACUGUGUCACUGGGUAUGUAAUGACAGUCGUUGAUAGAUAAUCGCGUCGUACCAAACGU
Non-coding RNA from Bombyx mori (domestic silkworm), 118 nucleotides. NCBI's taxonomy places the organism in Eukaryota, Metazoa, Arthropoda, Insecta, Lepidoptera, Bombycidae. The record is from RefSeq and is marked provisional.